This is a non-coding RNA of Podarcis lilfordi (Lilford's wall lizard), 75 nucleotides long. The record is from the annotation of a GenBank genome assembly. NCBI's taxonomy places the organism in Eukaryota, Metazoa, Chordata, Lepidosauria, Squamata, Lacertidae.
GGAAGGACUGUAGCUCAAUGGUGGAGCAUCUGCUUUGCGUGCAGAAGGCCUCAGGUACAAUCCCCAGCAUCUCCA